This 261-nucleotide ribosomal RNA is filed under the name uncultured archaeon. RNAcentral describes it as "partial 16S ribosomal RNA". It matches the Rfam family "Archaeal small subunit ribosomal RNA", at positions 748 to 1009 of the family's 1478-position model. The record is from RNAcentral.
CAGCUGUAAACGAUGCAGACUAGGUGUUUGGACGGCCACGUGCCGUUCUAGUGCCGCAGGGAAGCUGUUAAGUCUGCCGCCUGGGGAGUACGAUCGCAAGAUUGAAACUUAAAGGAAUUGGCGGGGGAGCACCACAACGGGUGGAGCUUGCGGUUUAAUUGGAUUCAACGCCGGAAAUCUUACCGGGACCGACAGCAACAUGAAGGCCAGGCUGAAGACUUUGCCGGAUUAGCUGAGAGGAGGUGCAUGGCGUAGACGUCU